GCGCCUGUAGCUCAGCUGGAUAGAGCAACGGACUUCUAAUCCGUAGGUCGGGGGUUCGAAUCCCUCCAGGCGUGCCA
This 77-nucleotide transfer RNA is filed under the name Clostridiales bacterium. Its description in RNAcentral is "tRNA-Arg". It matches the Rfam family "tRNA". Rfam says of the family: Transfer RNA (tRNA) molecules are approximately 80 nucleotides in length. Their secondary structure includes four short double-helical elements and three loops (D, anti-codon, and T loops). RNAcentral also lists the same sequence under 1 other name. The record is from RNAcentral. Lineage: Bacteria; Bacillati; Bacillota; Clostridia; Eubacteriales.